RNAcentral lists this ribosomal RNA (118 nucleotides) under Scophthalmus maximus (turbot). Lineage: Eukaryota; Metazoa; Chordata; Actinopteri; Pleuronectiformes; Scophthalmidae. The record is from RNAcentral.
AAGCACGGCCACACUGCCUAGUUCACGCCCGAUCUCGUUGAUCUCGGAAGCUAAGAUAGGGUGGGCCUGGUUAAUACUUGGAUGGGAGACCCCCUGGGAAUACCAGGUGCUGUAAAGC